Molecule: long non-coding RNA, 701 nt
Organism: Mauremys reevesii (Reeves's turtle)
Lineage: Eukaryota; Metazoa; Chordata; Testudines; Geoemydidae
Exons: 4
Source: RefSeq, a predicted model, not a curated record
GCAAUUAAUUGUUUGCCAGUCUGAGUCUGGUCAUAACUUUUAAUGAGAUAUUGCCUUAACCUGUUUAGGUUAACUUAAACUUUCAUUGCAAGCUGUGUGGUAUCAUGUAGCUUACCUGAUGUCUCAUAAAUACAAGCCAUUUGCACUUGUUCAAAGUGAGUGAAAAAUACCAUGGUUCUGAUCUGCCUACACUUUGUACAGAUGUAAAAUACUAUGCAAAGCUGUGGAUGCUGCUAAGAGACCCACUCAGCCUAAGGACCAGCUACCUGGAAAUGUCUGGUUUGUAAAAGAUAUUGCUUUGCUACAGCAUGACCAAAAAGACACCACAAGAAAGGCAACAAAGAUGGUUCGAGGUGAUUUUCCUCAAAAGUGGAUGUUCCCUCUCUGACAAGUCUUCACCGGUUACCCUAUCCUGGGCUGCUGUCUCCCAGUGUGUGGUGUCGAUGCCACAACUCUUGAAGCUUAUAUUGAGGACGUCUUUACAGCAUUUCUUUUGGCCUCUCCAUUUCCUUUCUCCUUUGGUGAACUGGGCAUACAGCAGUUGUUUUGGUAAGCAUACAUCAGGCAUGUGCACACAGUACCCGCUCCACCUCAGCUGGUGCUGGAUAAUCAGUGUCUCUAUACUGAAGAUAUCGGCCUCUGCGAGGACACUGACAUUAGUGUGACAAUCCUCCCACUUUAUGUUGAGGAUCUUCUGAAGA